Serinus canaria (Common canary) is the source of this 449-nucleotide long non-coding RNA. RefSeq lists it as uncharacterized. NCBI's taxonomy places the organism in Eukaryota, Metazoa, Chordata, Aves, Passeriformes, Fringillidae. The transcript has 3 exons. The record is from RefSeq and is a predicted model, not a curated record.
UCAGCUGCCACCAACUGCACGUUCAAGUGUUUGCUUUGUGACUUCCCUCUGGACUUGAUCAGUCGCUGCAGAACCUGCCAGGAGGAAAGGGCAAAAGGUGCAGAUUCCACACUGUCCAUUCCCCCCCUGCCCUCCAGUUCCCUCCUGGACUUAAGAACAGCCUCUUUUCCCACUUGGAAUAUCCUGAACUAACUGGGAAGGGCAGAACAUCCCAAAGAGGCAGCAGACACCUACAAGGACUGAGGUGAUGCCAUGGACCAAGCCAGUGCUCCCAGCAAGGAAAUCCAAAUGAUCCUCUCCAGCUCACCAGGAAAUGCUGCUCCAGCUGAAGAUCAACCCUCCUUACAAUUCUUUUUCUGUGCUUUAUUUCUCAGCAUUUCCUUCUUCCAACCCCCCUUUUCAGUACUUUUCCUACUUAAGGCAGUCAAAAUAAAAUCUCAUAUAAGGAA